RNAcentral lists this ribosomal RNA (355 nucleotides) under Phocaeicola vulgatus. Its description in RNAcentral is "partial 23S ribosomal RNA". It matches the Rfam family "Bacterial large subunit ribosomal RNA", at positions 1934 to 2299 of the family's 2925-position model. Lineage: Bacteria; Pseudomonadati; Bacteroidota; Bacteroidia; Bacteroidales; Bacteroidaceae. The record is from RNAcentral.
CCGUAACUAUAACGGUCCUAAGGUAGCGAAAUUCCUUGUCGGGUAAGUUCCGACCUGCACGAAUGGUGUAAUGAUCUGGACGCUGUCUCAACCGUGAGCUCAGUGAAAUUGUAGUAUCGGUGAAGAUGCCGAUUACCCGCGAUGGGACGAAAAGACCCCGUGAACCUUUACUAUAGCUUAUCAUUGAAUCUGGGCACGUGAUGUGUAGGAUAGGUCGGAGGCUUUGAAGCAGGUACGCCAGUAUUUGUGGAGCCGCUGUUGAAAUACGACCCUUUAUUUGUUUGGAUUCUAACCCGUGGUACGGGGACAUUGAUUGGUGGGUAGUUUGACUGGGGUGGUCGCCUCCAAAAGCGUA